This 776-nucleotide ribosomal RNA is filed under the name uncultured Neocallimastigales. Its description in RNAcentral is "partial large subunit ribosomal RNA". It matches the Rfam family "Eukaryotic large subunit ribosomal RNA", at positions 20 to 619 of the family's 3401-position model. Lineage: Eukaryota; Fungi; Neocallimastigomycota; Neocallimastigomycetes; Neocallimastigales. The record is from RNAcentral.
UACUAGAGUAGCACUCGCAUAUCAAUAAGCGGAGGAAAAGAAACUAACAAGGAUUCCCCUAGUAACGGCGAGUGAAGCGGGAAGAGCUCAAAUUUGAAAUCUUAAAGGGUUUCCCUUUACGAAUUGUAGUUUAAAGAAGUGUUUUCUGUUGAGGUUUUGGUAAAAGUUCUUUGGAAUAGGACAUCAUAGAGGGUGAGAAUCCCGUAUUUGACCUUUACUUUCAACUUUGUGAUACACUUUCAAAGAGUCGGAUUGUUUGGGAAUGCAGUCCAAAAUGGGUGGUAAAUUUCAUCUAAAGCUAAAUAUUGGCGAGAGACCGAUAGGGAACAGGUACCGUGAGGGAAAGAUGAAAAGAACUUUGAAAAGAGAGUUAAACAGUACGUGAAAUUGUCAAAAGGGAAGCGUUUGACACCAGUGUUGUUUUUCUGAAAAUCAAUUAAAGAACUGUUUAUGCUAAGCUGUUUAGACUUUAUCAGCUAAUCUGUUUAGUUUUGAGCUUUUCUUUAAUGCACUUUUCAGUUAACAAGUCAACAUCAAUUUCUUUUGCUGUAAAAAAGCUUGAGGAAGAUGGCUUGAGAUUCGUCUUAAGUGCUUAUAGCCUCUUGCCUAUGCAGUCGGAGAGAUUGAGGUCUGCAGCGUAGAUCCUUCGGGGCUAAAUGCAUUUGUGCUAAGUUAUAGCAUUUUAUAGACAACUUGUUGACUAUGAUUUGUCUUGUAGCUUACUCGCUUAUGUUAUUUUACCUACGCUUAGGAUGUUGAGCGCAUGUCUCUCUCUA